RNA transcript from Balaenoptera acutorostrata (minke whale), 1889 nucleotides. It is a transcript of the gene named histocompatibility minor 13, with no coding region annotated. The transcript is spliced from 13 exons. Lineage: Eukaryota; Metazoa; Chordata; Mammalia; Artiodactyla; Balaenopteridae. The record is from RefSeq and is a predicted model, not a curated record.
CGAGGUAAGCACGUCACUUCCUGUUUCUUUAGGGGAACGUGGCUUUCCCCACAGCGCCCGUCUUCCCUUCUGCGUCUCUGCUGCAGCUGCCGGAGCUGGAGUCGGACCCCGAGUGCAGCCUUGCCAUGGACUCGGCCCUCAGCGACCCGCAUAACGGCAGUGUCGAGGCAGGCGGCCCAACCAACGGUACGACGCGGCCGCCUUCCACGCCCGAGGGCAUCGCGCUGGCCUAUGGCAGCCUCCUGCUCAUGGCGCUGCUGCCCAUCUUCUUCGGCGCUCUGCGCUCCGUGCGCUGCGCCCGCGGCAAGAAUGCCUCGGACAUGCCCGAGACCAUCACCAGCCGGGACGCUGCCCGGUUCCCCAUCAUCGCCAGCUGCACGCUCUUGGGGCUCUACCUCUUUUUCAAAAUAUUCUCCCAGGAGUACAUCAACCUCUUGCUGUCCAUGUAUUUCUUCGUGCUGGGAAUCCUGGCCCUGUCCCACACCAUCAGCCCCUUCAUGAAUAAGUUUUUUCCAGCCAACUUCCCAAAUCGACAGUACCAGCUGCUCUUCACCCAGGGCUCUGGGGAGAACAAGGAAGAGCCCACAGCCAUGCCCUCCUCCGUCCAGGGGCUGACAGGUGGGAGGGGCAGCCCCGCCCCGGGGAGUGGACUUACCCGGCCUCUCUGCCCAGAGAUCAUCAAUUAUGAGUUUGACACCAAGGACCUGGUGUGCCUGGGCCUGAGCAGCAUCGUUGGUGUCUGGUACCUGCUGAGGAAGCACUGGAUUGCCAACAACCUCUUCGGCCUGGCCUUUUCCCUUAACGGGGUGGAGCUCCUGCACCUGAACAACGUCAGCACCGGCUGCAUCCUGCUGGGCGGGCUCUUCAUCUACGAUAUCUUCUGGGUAUUUGGCACCAAUGUGAUGGUGACAGUGGCCAAGUCCUUUGAGGCACCAAUAAAAUUGGUGUUUCCCCAGGAUCUGCUGGAGAAGGGCCUGGAAGCGGACAAUUUUGCCAUGCUGGGACUCGGAGACAUCGUCAUUCCAGGAAUCUUCAUCGCCUUGCUGCUGCGUUUUGACAUCAGCUUGAAGAAGAACACCCACACCUACUUCUACACCAGCUUUGCAGCCUACAUCUUCGGCCUGGGCCUGACCAUCUUCAUCAUGCACAUCUUCAAACACGCCCAGCCUGCGCUCCUGUACCUGGUCCCCGCCUGCAUCGGCUUUCCUGUCCUGGUGGCACUGGCCAAGGGAGAAGUGACAGAGAUGUUCAGCUACGAGUCCUCAGCGGAAAUCCUGCCUCAUACCCCGAGGCUCACCCACUUCCCCACAGUCUCGGGCUCCCCAGCCAGCCUGGCGGACUCCAUGCAGCAGAAGCUAGCUGGCCCUCGCCGCCGGCGCCCGCAGAAUCCCAGCGCCAUGUAAUGCCCAGCGGGUGCCCACCUGCCCACUUCCCCCCACUGCCCUGGGGCCCAAGUUAUGAGGAGUCAAAUCCUAAGGAUCCAGCAGCAGUGACAGAAUCCAAAGAGGGAACAGAGGCCUCAACAUCGAAGGGGCUGGAGAAGAAGGAGAAAUGAUGCGGCUGGUGCCUGACCCUCUGAGGGCCAGACACACGGGCGGGGUGGUCCCCCCAACACGGGCCCGCACGGCCGCAGUCCUGCUGAAGGGGACCGGCAGCUCCAGGAGAGGGGCAGGGGCAGCAGGCGCCCUCCAACGGGGCCUCCGGGGCCUGGUCCCCUCUCCCCCUUCUCUGGCCUCGCUCUGCCCCUCCCCAUCCCUGCCCGCAAAGGAAGCCCCAACUGCCCCCACCCCCCGCAAGGUGCCAGGUGGGAAAAGUGGGUCUGAUUUUUAGACUUUUGUAUUGUGGACUGACUUUGCCUCACAUUAAAAACUCAUCCCAUUGCCCGGGCA